RNAcentral lists this ribosomal RNA (412 nucleotides) under uncultured bacterium. Its description in RNAcentral is "bacterial SSU rRNA". It matches the Rfam family "Bacterial small subunit ribosomal RNA", at positions 917 to 1333 of the family's 1533-position model. The record is from RNAcentral.
GGACCCGCACAAGCGGUGGAGCAUGUGGUUUAAUUCGAUGAUACGCGAGGAACCUUACCAGGGCUUAAAUGUAGUGGGACAGGUCUAGAGAUAGACCCUUCUUCGGACUCAUUACAAGGUGCUGCAUGGUUGUCGUCAGCUCGUGUCGUGAGAUGUUGGGUUAAGUCCCGCAACGAGCGCAACCCACGUCGUUAGUUGCCAGCAUUUAGUUGGGCACUCUAGCGAGACCGCCGGUGAUAAACCGGAGGAAGGUGUGGAUGACGUCAAGUCAUCAUGCCCCUUACAUCCUGGGCUACACACGUACUACAAUGCUACGGACAAAGGGCAGCAAACUCGCGAGAGCUAGCAAAUCCCAUAAACCGUGGCUCAGUUCAGAUCGUAGGCUGCAACUCGCCUACGUGAAGGAGGAAUC